RNAcentral lists this long non-coding RNA (216 nucleotides) under Ictidomys tridecemlineatus (thirteen-lined ground squirrel). Its description in RNAcentral is "lncRNA (ENSSTOG00000034194.1)". Lineage: Eukaryota; Metazoa; Chordata; Mammalia; Rodentia; Sciuridae. The record is from RNAcentral.
UUUUGAGAGAAUGAUGAAAGGAGAAAAUGGAUGCUGGCUUUAAGCCACACAAAAGCUAGUUACCAUGGACAGCGCGGGACUCACGUCUAACAAUCCGGCUACCGAAAAUUAUUUGCCUGGAUCCAGUUCUGAUUCAAGGCCCCUGGCUACUCAACCGCCAAGGACAGUGGCCCCACUCCCUCCCUCUAUUCCUGGCCUCUUUAGUCUAAGUACUCA